AGCUUCUCCUGGCCCCCUCCCUGUGUCUGUUCCUGUCCCCGAGCCUCUGGCCUCUGAUGCCUUCAGGAGCUUGGGCCUCUCCUGCUCCACUCCUAAACUUCAGCUUCUCAGCAAACAGGCCUCCCAAGUCCCUGCUUCUCCCUCUCAGGCCUUGCUAACCUCACCAGCUCUAGGGCCUGGCCAGGCCUCCCAGGCUCCCUCCUCCACCCCCACCCCUUCUCACUCAUGGAGCCCCUGGGACUGGUCGUGCAUGGGAAAGCUGAACCUUUUUCCGCAGCACUCCGAAGCCUUGUCAACAACCCGCGAUACAGGUGGCCGUAACCUUUGGCCUGGGGCAGCUGCAGGAGCGCUGCGUGGCUUUCAUAGAGGCCCACAGCCAGGUACUGCUCCCUUCAUACUCCUCACCCUACGCACCGCAUUCUGCUCCUCCCUGACCCAUUUGCCGGCUCGCAGGAGGCCCUCCGGACCCGAGGCUUCCUGGAGCUGUCGGCGGCGGCGCUGCUGCCCCUGCUCCGCAGCGACAAGCUCUGCGUGGACGAGGCGGAACUGGUCCGCGCGGCCCGAAGCUGGGCGCGCGUGGGCGCGGCGGUGCUGGAGCGGCCGGUGGCUGAGGUGGCGGCCCCGGUGGUGAAAGAGCUGAGACUAGCCUUGCUGGCCCCGGCGGAGCUGAGCGCCCUGGAAGAGCAGAACCGGCAGGAACCACUCAUCCCGGUGGAGCAGAUUGUGGAGGCGUGGAAAUGCCAUGCCCUGCGGAGAGGGGAUGAGGCCCGGGGCGCCCCGUGUCGCCGCCGGAGAGGCACCCUGCCCCGGGAGCAUCACCGCUCUCUGGACCUGUCCUUCAAAUGAUCCAACGCCAGGACUCGCAGGGAGCCCUCGACCCGCCCAGCUGAGCCUGCCCCAAACUACAGCUCCCGAAGUGCUCGGCGUUCGGAGCGGGCUUCCGUUCCCAGCGUGCCCAGUGAGCCGGGCGCCGGAAGAACCAUUGUCUGCCACGCGCAGCCCCUUCUUGUGCGGGAUCAAGCUCGUGUGGGCGAGGUGGGGUCGGGCCGGGCAGGGCUUGGGCUGGGCCUCCCUGAGGGGGUGAAACUCGAAAACGAGGAUUUCCUUCGCUCCACACCCUCACUCUACGCCCUGCCCCUGGGCAUUGUCGUCUGCUAGUCUAUUCUGAUGACUCCCACAUAUCUAUCUGUUCAGCUCAGCUCCCUCUUUCUUUUCUUUUUUUCUUUCUUUCUUUCUUUCUUUUUCUUUUUCUUUUUCUUUCUUUCUUUCUCCUUCCUUCCUUCUUUCUUUCUUUCUCUUUCUCUCUCUCUUUCUUUCUUUCUCUCCUCUCUCUCUCUUUUUUUUGAGACGGAGUCUCGCACUCUCGCCCAGGCCAGAGGGCAGUGGUGCCAUCUCGGCUCACUGCAAGCUCCGCCUCCCGGGUUCACGCCGUUCUCCUGCCUCAGCCUCCGGAGUAGCUGGUACUACAGGCGCCCAUCACCACGCCCGGCUAAUUUUUUUGAAUUUUUAGUAGAGACGGAGUUUCACCGUAUUAGCCAGGAUGGUCUCGAUCUCCUGACCUUGUGAUCCGCCCGCCUUGGCCUUUUUUUUUUUUUUUUUUUUUUUGAGACAGAGUCUUGCUCUGUUGUCGAGGCUGGAGUGUAGUGGUGUGAUUUCGGCUCACUUCAAACUCCGUCUCCCGGGUUCAAGCGAUUCUCGUGCCUCAGCCUCCUGAGUAGCUGGGAUUACAGACAUGCACCACAACGCCCGGCUAAUUGUUGUAUUUUUAGUAGAGACGGGGGUUUCACCAUGUUGGCCAGGUUGGUCUCGAACUCCUGACUUCAUGUGAUCUGCCAGCCUCGGCCUCCCAAAGUGCUGGGAUUACAGGUGUGAGCCACCAUGCCCGGCCUCAGCUCCUUCUUUCAUUCCAGACCUGCCCCCCUGGAGAUCGCUCCCUGAAUGCCCCUCAGACACCACAGGCUCGGCGAGAAAUUGAUCUCCCCAGCUUUUCCCCAGCUCUGCCCCCAUCGUGUUUCUCAUUUCCGUGGGCACCCACGCCAGAAACCUGGAUCUCAUCCUUGCCUUAUCCCUCUUCACACCUGCCUUAGGUCUCUUUUUACCUUGUAAGAGACCUUAAGAGACCUUUCCAGUUGGUUCAGUUCUCUCAGCCCCAGGUUCAACCUGUCCUGUCUGACACGUCUCACAGCCUUCCUGCCUUCACUCCAGCGCCCCCUCAAUCCAUUUCCCACAGUGCAGCCAGACCUGUCUUUGAUUGUCAGUCCUAUGGGGCUUAAGUCCUGGAACAUCCCAUUGACCUCCAGGACAAAAUUCAAUCUAUUUCACUUUCAGGGCACUCAAAACUACUAGUGAGUGGUUCCUCACCUCUUCUCUCAAAUACAAUCUUUGUAUAAAUUCAUUUAUCCUGGAGGUAUUAGUCCUCUAGCUCCAUACUUACUCAGUUACUGCAGACCCCUCUGCUACCUCCUUCAUUCACUAUACAUCUUGUUUUCCCGAGGAUGUGAAUCUCCCUCAAGAAAGAUCCCUGGGGCCUGGAGUGGUGUCUUACUCGUUUCUGCUUCCUCAGUCUCUGUCAGAUAAUCAGUGCUAUGUAAAUGUUAAGUAAAUGACUUUAUUUAUUUA
RNAcentral lists this small RNA (2619 nucleotides) under Pan troglodytes (chimpanzee). Its description in RNAcentral is "retained intron". Lineage: Eukaryota; Metazoa; Chordata; Mammalia; Primates; Hominidae. The record is from RNAcentral.